GAUGAACGCUGGCGGCGUGCCUAAUACAUGCAAGUCGAGCGAACGGACGAGAAGCUUGCUUCUCUGAUGUUAGCGGCGGACGGGUGAGUAACACGUGGAUAACCUACCUAUAAGACUGGGAUAGCUUCGGGAAACCGGAGCUAAUACCGGAUAAUAUUUUGAACCGCAUGGUUCAAAAGUGAAAGACGGUCUUGCUGUCACUUAUAGAUGGAUCCGCGCUGCAUUAGCUAGUUGGUAAGGUAACGGCUUACCGAGGCAACGAUGCAUAGCCGACCUGAGAGGGUGAUCGGCCACACUGGAACUGAGACACGGUCCAGACUCCUACGGGAGGCAGCAGUAGGGAAUCUUCCGCAAUGGGCGAAAGCCUGACGGAGCAACGCCGCGUGAGUGAUGAAGGUCUUCGGAUCGUAAAACUCUGUUAUUAGGGAAGAACAUAUGUGUAAGUAACUGUGCACAUCUUGACGGUACCUAAUCAGAAAGCCACGGCUAACUACGUG
Molecule: ribosomal RNA, 497 nt
Filed under: uncultured bacterium
Lineage: Bacteria
Description: partial 16S ribosomal RNA
Rfam family: Bacterial small subunit ribosomal RNA
Source: RNAcentral